GUCCAUCUGAUGAGUUAAGCCUUUUUCAACUGAUUUUUAUAGUUCGUUCUUAUGUUGUACUGUUAUACCACUGUCCCAGGUUAGGGGAGGGUUAGGAUCCCGCUAACAUGUUUAACCCCGCUACAUUAUUUAUGUAUGUGCCUGUCCCAAGUCAGGAGCCUGUAAUUCAGUGGUUGUCGUUUGUUUAUGUGUUACAUAUUUGUUUUUCGUUCAUUUUUUUACAUAAAUAAGGCCGUUACUUUUCUCGUUUGAAUUGUUUUACAUUGUUUUAUCGGGGCCUUUUAUAUCUGACUAUGCGGUAAAGGCUUUGCUCAUUGUUGAAGGCCGUACGGUGAUCUAUAGUUGUUAAUGUCUGUUUCAUUUUGGUCUUUUGUGGAUAGUUGUCUCAUUGGCAAUCAUACCACAUCUUCUUUAUUAUAUCGACAGGUCAAAUCAAAUUGAAUUAUGUCGGUGAUAGUUCAGUGAAAAAGUUGAAAACAAUUAUCAUUCUAUCGUUAUUCUUGUCAGUAUGGG
RNAcentral lists this long non-coding RNA (513 nucleotides) under Mytilus galloprovincialis (Mediterranean mussel). Lineage: Eukaryota; Metazoa; Mollusca; Bivalvia; Mytilida; Mytilidae. The record is from RNAcentral.